AGAGUUUGAUCCUGGCUCAGGACGAACGCUGGCGGCGUGCCUAACACAUGCAAGUCAACUUGAAGUUACCGCUUGCGGUAAUGGACGGUGGCGAACGGGUGAGUAACGCGUAGACAACCUACCAUUUAAAGAGGGAUAAUUCACUGAAAAGAGGACUAAUACCUCAUGUGCUCUUAAGUCGGCAUCGAUUAAAGAGGAAAGACUACGGUCGUUAAAUGAUGGGUCUGCGUAUCAUUAGUUAGUUGGUAAGGUAACGGCUUACCAAGACAUCGAUGAUUAGCUGGUCUGAGAGGAUGAUCAGCCACACUGGGACUGAGAUGCGGCCCAGACUCCUACGGGAGGCAGCAGUGAGGAAUAUUGCACAAUGGGGGCAACCCUGAUGCAGCAACGCCGCGUGUACGAAGAAUCAGAUUACUGUGUAAAGUACUGUUAGAAGGGACGAAAUAUUUGAUUAGUAGUCAAAUUUGCCGGUACCUUCUAAGAAAGCUCCGGCUAACUCCGUGCCAGCAGCCGCGGUAAUACGGGGGGAGCAAGCGUUGUCCGGAAUCAUUGGGCGUAAAGGGCAUGUAGGUGGUAUAUUAAGUCAGUUUUUAAAUGUCACGGCUUAACCGUGGACUGGAAUUGAAACUGGUAUACUUGAGUAUGAGAGGGGACAGAGGAAUACCUAGUGUAGCGGUGGAAUGCGUAGAUAUUAGGUAGAACACCCGAGGCGAAGGCGUCUGUCUGGCUCAUUACUGACACUGAAAUGCGAAAGCAUGGGUAGCGAACAGGAUUAGAUACCCUGGUAGUCCAUGCCGUAAACGAUGGAUACUAGGUGUCGGGGGACUAGCCCCCUCGGUGCCGUAGCAAACGCGUUAAGUAUCCCGCCUGGGGAGUACGAUCGCAAGGUUGAAACUCAAAGGAAUUGACGGGGGCCCGCACAAGCGGUGGAGCAUGUGGUUUAAUUCGAUGCAACGCGAAGAACCUUACCUGGGCUUGAACCGCAUAAUGAUCUACUAUAGAGAUAUGGUAUUCUGAGCAAUCAGCAAUAUGCAGAGGUGCUGCAUGGCUGUCGUCAGCUCGUGUCGUGAGAUGUUGGGUUAAGUCCCGCAACGAGCGCAACCCUUAUCAUUAGUUGCCAGCGCGUGAAGGCGGGGACUCUAAUGAGACUGCCCGGGUUAACCGGGAGGAAGGUGGGGAUGACGUCAAGUCCUCAUGGCCCUUAUGUCCAGGGCUACACACGUGCUACAAUGGGCGGUACAGAGCGCAGCUACACAGUGAUGUGGUGCGAAUCGCAAAAACCGUUCUCAGUUCGGAUCUCAGUCUGCAACUCGACUGAGUGAAGUUGGAAUCGCUAGUAAUCGCGGAACAGCAUGCCGCGGUGAAUACGUUCCCGGGCCUUGUACACACCGCCCGUCACACCAUGGAAGUUGAUAGUGCUCGAAGUAACUGGUCUAACCAGCAAUGGAGGAAAGUUACUAAGGCAAGAUUGAUAACUGGGGUGAAGUCGUAACAAGGUAGCCGUA
This 1505-nucleotide ribosomal RNA is filed under the name uncultured bacterium. Its description in RNAcentral is "bacterial SSU rRNA". It matches the Rfam family "Bacterial small subunit ribosomal RNA". The record is from RNAcentral.